This is a non-coding RNA of Megalops atlanticus (tarpon), 74 nucleotides long. The record is from the annotation of a GenBank genome assembly. Lineage: Eukaryota; Metazoa; Chordata; Actinopteri; Elopiformes; Megalopidae.
GCAGCAGUGUCCCAUAGUGGUUAUGGAGCAGGGCUUGUAACCGAAAGGUUGCGGGUUCGACUCCCGCUGGUGCA